ACGGGGAUAGCUCAGCUGGUAGAGCAAGUGCUUCGGGAGCAUUAGGUCGGAGGUUCAAGUCCUUCUCCCCGUU
This 73-nucleotide transfer RNA is filed under the name Candidatus Jorgensenbacteria bacterium. RNAcentral describes it as "tRNA-Pro". It matches the Rfam family "tRNA". Rfam says of the family: Transfer RNA (tRNA) molecules are approximately 80 nucleotides in length. Their secondary structure includes four short double-helical elements and three loops (D, anti-codon, and T loops). Further hydrogen bonds mediate the characteristic L-shaped molecular structure. tRNAs have two regions of fundamental functional importance: the anti-codon, which is responsible for specific mRNA codon recognition, and the 3' end, to which the tRNAs corresponding amino acid is attached (by aminoacyl-tRNA synthetases). tRNAs cope with the degeneracy of the genetic code in two manners: having more than one tRNA (with a specific anti-codon) for a particular amino acid; and 'wobble' base-pairing, i.e. permitting non-standard base-pairing at the 3rd anti-codon position. Lineage: Bacteria; Candidatus Joergenseniibacteriota. The record is from RNAcentral.